CCUACGGGUGGCUGCAGUGGGGAAUAUUGGACAAUGGGCGAAAGCCUGAUCCAGCCAUGCCGCGUGUGUGAAGAAGGCCUUUGGGUUGUAAAGCACUUUCAGUGGGGAAGAAAGCCUUGGGGCUAAUACCCUCGAGGAAGGACAUCACCCACAGAAGAAGCACCGGCUAACUCCGUGCCAGCAGCCGCGGUAAUACGGAGGGUGCGAGCGUUAAUCGGAAUUACUGGGCGUAAAGCGCGCGUAGGCGGUCUGAUAAGCCGGUUGUGAAAGCCCCGGGCUCAACCUGGGAACGGCAUCCGGAACUGUCAGGCUAGAGUGCAGGAGAGGAAGGUAGAAUUCCCGGUGUAGCGGUGAAAUGCGUAGAGAUCGGGAGGAAUACCAGUGGCGAAGGCGGCCUUCUGGACUGACACUGACGCUGAGGUGCGAAAGCGUGGGUAGCAAACAGGAUUAGAUACCCCUGUAGUC
Molecule: ribosomal RNA, 465 nt
Filed under: Vreelandella stevensii
Lineage: Bacteria; Pseudomonadati; Pseudomonadota; Gammaproteobacteria; Oceanospirillales; Halomonadaceae
Description: partial 16S ribosomal RNA
Rfam family: Bacterial small subunit ribosomal RNA
Source: RNAcentral